GAUGAAGAACGUAGCGAAAUGCGAUACGUAAUGUGAAUUGCAGAAUUCAGUGAAUCAUCGAGUCUUUGAACGCACAUUGCGCCCCCUGGUAUUCCGGGGGGCAUGCCUGUCCGAGCGUCAUUGCUGCCCUCAAGCACGGCUUGUGUGUUGGGCCUCCGUCCUCCUCCCGGGGGACGGGCCCGAAAGGCAGCGGCGGCACCGCGUCCGGUCCUCGAGCGUAUGGGGCUUCGUGACCCGCUCUUGUAGGCCCGGCCGGCGCUUGCCGACACAUCAAUCUUUUUUCCAGGUUGACCUCGGAUCAGGUAGGGAUACCCGCUGAACUUAAGCAUAUCAAUAAGCGGAGGA
This 345-nucleotide unclassified non-coding RNA is filed under the name soil metagenome. Its description in RNAcentral is "partial contains 5.8S ribosomal RNA, internal transcribed spacer 2, and large subunit ribosomal RNA". The stretch from base 1 to 120 matches the Rfam family "5.8S ribosomal RNA", at positions 35 to 154 of the family's 154-position model. The record is from RNAcentral.